GAGAGAGAGAGAGAGAGAAAGAGUAAGAUCAACCAUGCUCAUAAUAUGAAAUUAAGUUCUUCAAGUCCAUUAAGGUCAUAGCACAAAGGGGGCUCCAUUUGUAGCAUUCACAGUGAGGAAGAAUUUAUCAACUAAUAAGAGAAAUUAUUUGGCAAAGUUGCACUUAAAUUAAGAUGGUGCUAAUUUCCUAAAACUUCUUUCAGGUUUCAAAGUGAAAGGUCUAGAAGUCAUAUACUAUUUUGUAAUUUUAGAUCUAUAGACCCUUUUUCCUUGUGCAACAGCUAUUCUUAAACCCCCAUCUUCUAUACUAUUGGCUUUUCAUGAUGCAGAAUCACUAUCUUGACAGAAUAAAAAAUCAACUAAACAUUUCUUAUUAAUUUACAAUUACAAUGUUAAAUGAGAGGCAACUUAAGUUGCACACUAAGAAAUGUAGCUUGACAUUUGCAACUCCAUAAAUCAGUCUAAAAUUUAUUAUUGUUCCAGGAGGUUUUAGAAAGUGAUUCCCCAUAAUUUUCACCAGACAGAAUAAAAGAACAAAAAUUAUGCAGAGUCGGAAAACUAGAUAGCACUAGCUACAUAACAGACGGUAAACCAAAAAAUCUUCAAGCUUAUGUAACCCCAAUCAUGAGGAAAAUGGAGGCAUACCAAAGAAUCAGUGUAACAUGUAUGCACUUUAAAAAUUUUUGUUUUACCUUAAAUUAC
This 702-nucleotide unclassified non-coding RNA is filed under the name Hevea brasiliensis (rubber tree). Lineage: Eukaryota; Viridiplantae; Streptophyta; Magnoliopsida; Malpighiales; Euphorbiaceae. The record is from RNAcentral.